RNAcentral lists this ribosomal RNA (206 nucleotides) under Crematogaster abstinens. RNAcentral describes it as "partial large subunit ribosomal RNA". Lineage: Eukaryota; Metazoa; Arthropoda; Insecta; Hymenoptera; Formicidae. The record is from RNAcentral.
GAAUUUUAUAUAGAUAAAUUAUUUUUUUUAGUUUAAUAAUAAUUGAUAUAUAUUUAAUUGGGAGGAUUGUUAAAUUAAAAAAACUUUAAUUAUAGAUAAUAUUAAUAAAUGAAUUUAAGAAUGGUUAUAUAAUUAAUAAAGAAUUAAUUACCUUAGGGAUAACAGCGUAAUAUUUUUGGAGAGUACAUAUUAAUAGAAAUGUUUGC